Passer domesticus (house sparrow) is the source of this 3626-nucleotide long non-coding RNA. RefSeq lists it as uncharacterized. NCBI's taxonomy places the organism in Eukaryota, Metazoa, Chordata, Aves, Passeriformes, Passeridae. The transcript is spliced from 4 exons. The record is from RefSeq and is a predicted model, not a curated record.
GAGCUGGAAGUUGCACCACCGCGCUGAAGUUUUCAGAUAAGCAGCCAGCCAGUUGUUUAACUUAGAAAACAUUAACUUCUUUGUGUGGCUUGUGGCAGUGUAGCAAUAGGUGGAAGGGGAAAGAGAAUAGAAUAGAAAGCAAUACUGCUUUAUUGUUUCUAUAAAGGACUGUGAUUGCUUUGUUAUCAAUACUGAAUGGCGGAAAGAGACUUUCUUGCUGUUACCCUUCCCUUAUGAAACAGAAGUACAUUCAUGAUAAACAGUUACAGUGGAAAAAUAUAUCACUGCAGUAUGUGUACUGACCAUAGGAAAUACCACUGUAGGUUUAUAGGUUCCUCAAAAUGAAUUGAACUAAACUGUUCUCUAACAGUGGAUAUUUCACAUAUUUGGAGUAUAAAAACAAGCAGUUGUCUGGCAAUAUAAGGUAGCAGAAACAUCUAAAAUGAAGAUAUAUUGGCUUUGCAUGUGUGAGAACUGCUAGAACUUCACUGCAGCGUAGGCAGAUGGAGGAUUAGACUGUCCUGUUGCAGAUCAACCUAAAUUGAAUUAACUUGAGUCUGCCUUGGACUGACUUCUCACAGAUGAAAAUUAGAGUUUAUGAGGCAAAUUUUCUGAGUAGCAAAAGGAGGAAUUAUUCUGGCAUCCUGUGAGUCUGCUGAGAUUUCCUUGGCUCAGGAGUACAUCUUCUGCCCCUUCUGAACUCUACAGGGUUUUUUUUUAAGUUAGAAGAACUUAAUCAAGACUUAUGAGAUUGUGCUGCUGGCUGUGGAGCCCUCUGAGUAAUUUUGUGGGCUUCUCCUUCAAGCAUAAAGGACUUACUAAAAUUUUUCUGUAUUUUCUUUCUUGCCUGUACUUUUAUGUUUCCAUCUAUGUAAAAUGUCUUAUGUGGAGCUGAUAAUUAUUUGCCCAACUAGAAUUGAAAAUACUUGAAGGAUAACUCUAAAAGGUUUCUUCACACAGAUCUGCUGAGCUGUUAGAUUUUCUGAAACAAGUUUUUCUAUAGUCCUUCCAUAUUUGCAUUUGUAAACUGUAUCCCACUUCAGUGUCAUUAACAACUUUCUUUAACACUAGAUACUGACAUGCUACUUUUAGUAUGGUUACUGCCACUUAUGUUGAUCAUAACUCAUUUAUCAGUUGGGCUGUUGAUCAAUAUAAGCUCUUGGUAUGUUGGGUCAGCAGUUUCAAAAACCCUGGUGAGGCCAAUAUGUUGGUGGUAUAGGGGAUUCCUUUCUCCCUGCUGAACCUGAACAUUUGCCCUCAGCCUUUUGGGCCUGUGUCUCCUCUGUCAGAAUGAAAGGGGGGAAAUCAAUAAAAUGGGAUGUUCUUGUCCAUAUUCACUGCUGAGCUUUAAGCAGUUUGUAUCUUAGUUUGGAUAAGCAAGGAAAAAAUAUGUCAAUGGAUUUGUAACUACACCAAUAUUAUCUGUUACCUUUCAGGCCUCCAUUAUUUACUUACACCAUUUAUGCACCUUCAGAGAAAUCAGCCAAGCUGUGUGUCUAGUUACAAGCAAAUAUUUAAGUAUGUGACCUGUAAAGGCAUUUAGAUUGCUAUUUAUGUGCAAUUGCUUUUUAAUUUCAUUGAAGAUUAUGUGAUUGAAUGCAUUUAUAGAUCAGUUAUUGCACAGGAAUGACAGGCUUUUUCUUAAUAGUCACAUAAUAAAAGUAUUUUCUAUAUAGAAGAAAAAUAUUUAUGCUAAGAUUAAUUAUUAUCAAAAUAUGGUUUCAAAAUGUGUUUAAUACCAGUAUAUUGGGACUUCAAUGGCCAUAUAUUUCAAAUAGGGACAUUUUAUUUAAUAUUGUAUCAUUAACCAUUUCUGGGUUUAAUUAACAUGGAUUUUUAUUUGCCAAAACUUGGACAGGAAAGAAACUUUUAUGAUAAAAAUGUUUCAUUUGUCUUUUUAUAUAACAAGAAAUACUAAUGUAUAUCUGCCUGAAUUCCAGUAUUAGGAAAAUGAACUUUUGUAAAUUCAAGAGUUAAUUUUGUUUCUCGUUUUGUUUUUCUGAGAGGGAGAGUGUCUUAUGAGGUGCUGUAAAUACUGGACAGGCACUAGUAGAGCUAACAGAUUUUGAAAAGUGGCUUCUACACUAACUCAAUUUUUACUCUCCCAGUCUAUUACCCAUUUACUUCAAUACCUUCAAUAUGAUACAGGUAUAGCAACAAUAAGUGGAUUUCUAGCUAUUUCUUGACAUUCAUAGGCUUACAUGCUGAGGUUUCAUCUCCCAGUUCACUGUAGGCUUUCAAAGAUUCAGAACCAGUAUUUUCAGACUUGACUUCUUACUCUAAAAUUCUGCUAAUCACCUAAUUUGUGUAAAAACCUUCAGGGAAAGUCUUGACUUUUGUUAAGAGAUCAAAAUUUGCCCAUCACUGGCAGGCCGUGUGCAUCUGACUUAUAUUUCUGAUCAGUUGUUUUUAAAGGUCAGGUGUGCCUUCCAUGAGUGGGUGCUGACGUUCCAGGUGUCUCCUCAACAGAGUGAUCUCUCCUUAGAAGACUGUGGCCAGUUUCUUACUAAACUGUAGCAGUUGUAGUCUCAUGCUGCUAAGAAAUUGCUGUGUUAUAUUCUGCUUUUCAGCUUAGAAAAAAAACUUUCAGGAGAAAUCUAUUUUCUUUGUAGAGCAUACAGACUUAUUUCAAUUAUAUAUAGAGAGAGAUUGUGUGGUUUUUUUCCUGAAUGAAAUGGUCACUUAAUCCCAGAAGAUUUUUUUUUCCCUGGGAAGUAAUUAAUUACUGAAGGCAAACUCGUACAAUAGAAGCUAUUUUGAAAUCUUAAUUGUAGUGUUGAUUAUAUUCAAUUUACAGGCUUCUGGACAUGACAAAAUGAAGUCGGUAGGUUUUUUAGACACUGAAAAUUAGAUGUAUAAUUAGUCCGUUCGUGUCAUUAUUAAGACAUUAUUUCCUUUUUGUUAUUGAUCAAUGAUAAAAGCAGAAAUUUCUUCUUUCAAAUGAAAUUAUGAUUGUAAUAUUUGUGAUCCAGCAUUUUUAAUGUUAAUUUGCCAUUUGCUGUCACUGGAAAGAAAGUAUUUUCAUUGGAGAUUAUUUUCUGGAUUGGACUGGAAAGUGUGGCUUUGUGCUUUAUUAUUUUUAUAGGGUGGAGAAGUUUUCCUGGUCUGCUUCUGAAAGAGGAAAAAAAAAGAUCAAAGUGAAAUCCUCUGACAUUUUUCCUGAGAAAAGACCACCCUACUGUUUGAUAGGUUUUAUGUUUUUCUCUUGCUUGAUGAUUGAUGUUUCUCUGGUACACUGACGUGUGUCUCGAGAGCAUAAAAGUGAGGGGAGGAUGGUGCUAACAUUAGAUAUCAUUUGAAAAGACUUAGUGUGAUGAUUUCAAUGUGUUUUAUUUUUCUGUCCAUUGCUUAUUAUAUUUUUCUGAAGCCAGGAAAAUUCUUGUGUUCCACUUGGUGAAUAUUUUUCUGCAAUGUUACUCACCGAGUUGAAACAAUUUGUGUAGUUAGUUAUUAAUCUGUCACUCUAAAGGAUUUAUUUUCUGCUGGUUUCUGCUCCCUACUGCCAUGAUUCUGUGAGGAAUCAUUUUUCUUAGGUGACUCUUCAGUGUAAGAAACUAUUUGAAUGUGUUAAGAACAGUACAUUAUUUUAAUAUAACCAAGUUAAGGAAAAGGAGAUAGUGGAUAAA